GAGUUCAGUGCACUAUCUGUUGACCCACAAUAGCUUGUAGUCGACUAUGGGGUUGAGAGUAGAGUUCACUUUCUUUUCUGAGUAGGGAUGUUCCUGUUUUAGAUUUUGUUGCAAUUAAUUUACCAUCAGCAAACAUCUCUUUUGUUUUUUCGUUAUUACAGGCGGGACCUGGCAGACAAGUAGAUGAUACCAUUAUAAUUGAAUUACAACAGAGAAUAAGAGAUCUCCAGGAGAAGCUUGAUUCUGUUGGUUCAUAUGAGGCUACCCUGUCAGCUCGAAUUUCCACGCAGGAUGAGAAGAUGGCAUCGCUAGAGGACAAGAUUUUGAAUCCACAGAAUCUACAAAACUCUGCUGUCGUUUCUCAUGGACUGAAGAGAUCAGAAGAAAUGGAGGUUGUACGAGAAGCUAUUGAAAGUCUGCGGAGCUGUUU
This is a long non-coding RNA of Orbicella faveolata, 430 nucleotides long. Lineage: Eukaryota; Metazoa; Cnidaria; Anthozoa; Scleractinia; Merulinidae. The record is from RefSeq and is a predicted model, not a curated record.